GCCAGGUGCAGUGGCACUCACCUGUAAUCCCAGCAACUCAGGAGGCUGAGGCAGGAGGAUCACAAGUUCAAAGACAACUUAGUGAGGCCCUAAGCAACUUUAGGGAAACCCUGUCUCAG
RNAcentral lists this small RNA (119 nucleotides) under Marmota monax (woodchuck). The record is from RNAcentral. Lineage: Eukaryota; Metazoa; Chordata; Mammalia; Rodentia; Sciuridae.